UACAGAGGGUGCGAGCGUUGUCCGGAAUCACUGGGCGUAAAGGGCGCGUAGGCGGUCUGCUAAGCGUGUGGUGAAAGCUCGGGGCUCAACCCCGAGUCGGCCGUGCGAACUGGUGGACUGGAGCAUGUCAGAGGCAGGCGGAAUUCCGGGUGUAGCGGUGGAAUGCGUAGAGAUCCGGAAGAACACCGGUGGCGAAGGCGGCCUGCUGGGACAUUGCUGACGCUGAGGCGCGACAGCGUGGGGAGCAAACAGG
RNAcentral lists this ribosomal RNA (253 nucleotides) under uncultured bacterium. RNAcentral describes it as "partial 16S ribosomal RNA". It matches the Rfam family "Bacterial small subunit ribosomal RNA", at positions 524 to 776 of the family's 1533-position model. The record is from RNAcentral.